This 482-nucleotide ribosomal RNA is filed under the name uncultured bacterium. Its description in RNAcentral is "bacterial SSU rRNA". It matches the Rfam family "Bacterial small subunit ribosomal RNA", at positions 30 to 507 of the family's 1533-position model. The record is from RNAcentral.
AUUGAACGCUGGCGGAAUGCUUUACACAUGCAAGUCGAACGGCAGCACGGGGCAACCUGGUGGCGAGUGGCGAACGGGUGAGUAAUACAUCGGAACGUGCCCAAUCGUGGGGGAUAACGUAGCGAAAGUUACGCUAAUACCGCAUACGAUCUACGGAUGAAAGCGGGGGAUCGCAAGACCUCGCGCGAAUGGAGCGGCCGAUGUCAGAUUAGGUAGUUGGUGGGGUAAAGGCUCACCAAGCCAACGAUCUGUAGCUGGUCUGAGAGGACGACCAGCCACACUGGAACUGAGACACGGUCCAGACUCCUACGGGAGGCAGCAGUGGGGAAUUUUGGACAAUGGGCGCAAGCCUGACGCAGCGAUGCCGCGUGAGUGACGAAGGUCUUAGGAUUGUAAAGCUCUUUUCUGAGGGAAGAAUAGGUCUGGUAGGAAAUGACUGGAUUCUGACGGUACCUCAGGAAUAAGGAACGGCUAACUCCGUG